This 1086-nucleotide long non-coding RNA is filed under the name Meleagris gallopavo (turkey). RNAcentral's name for it is "lncRNA (ENSMGAG00000022016.1)". Lineage: Eukaryota; Metazoa; Chordata; Aves; Galliformes; Phasianidae. The record is from RNAcentral.
AUGAGGAAAGAAAUGGAGAGCCUCGAUGAGCAAACACCAUCCUCAAUGCCUCGGAGAGAGCAAAGUGCCCCUGGCCACACUGCAGGCAUCCCACCACUCACUGCUGCUGUCCUGAUGGGAAGGGCUGAAGGUUCACUCUGCACAGACCAAGUUUCAGGGAGAACAAUGUCGAGUCAUACGAAUGUCAGCUCAGCUAGCUUAAACCCAGGCACAGAAAAGGGGUCAAUUAACAGAGUUAUGGACAAAGAGGUGAUAGAUUUUGGCUCUGCCUCAGACAACUGUUGUCCUGGUAGUGGUAUUCAGCAUGGUGUCAGCUGCACGCCGCAAGGAACACCAAAUAAACUAAAGGAAGCAGUGAGAACAAUGUCAGUUCUGAGCCAAGAGAAGCAGCAUCUGAUUGAAAUGGGAAACAGACUCAAGACAGAUCUUGAAAUGAUAUUAAAGGAAGGACUUGGGCAUCCUGUUAGCCCAAAGCUCUGCACAGUUUGUGUAGGCUCUGGUGGCCUUUCUCCGAGAGAACUUGUCAAAAGAACACAGUGUCAGCUUUCAGCUUUAAGGCACCUGCAACGCAAGCUCAUAACACAGGAGCUGCAAUAUGCAAAGCAACAGCACCUCUCCAGGAUCUCUUCUUUAAUUGCCUGCCCCAUUUUAAAGGGAGAAAAAGCUCCAAGCAGCUGUGGAGAAGAAAAAGAACUGCUGUCUGCUGAGGUUCAGCUCAAUUCCUCAGCUGGAAAUUAUGGGCCAACGCAACAAAAGGCGGCUGCUGCACCCUCAAGGGUUCAAAGUCAGCCACCCAAGGAAAGCCCUGGUCAAGCCCAGCAGGUCUGGAUUUCUUCAUCUGGAGCACACAGUCCAUGCCAAGUGGAAUUUGAAAUCACGCAUUCAACCGAGCGAGCUGGAAAAUGUCAGGAACACAGCAAUGCCACGAGUGAGCCUGAAAUGCCCACAGCACAUCUGGCAGUCAGAGGUACCAAGCUGGAGGUUCAGCAGAAGCUAAAAUCCAGGAAUUCUCCUUGUACAUACCCCAUAAAACGAAAAAUCUCUCCUACCGUGGCAAAAAUCCGCAACUACAAUAUUAAAGACUGA